AGGCUGCUAAGAGCAUUGUUGCAAACGGGCUUGCUCGCAGGUGCAUUGUCCAAGUCUCCUAUGCCAUUGGUGUGCCUGAGCCAUUGUCUGUUUUUGUGGACUCAUAUGGAACCGGCAAGAUUCCUGACAAGGAGAUCCUCAAAAUUGUGAAGGAAAGCUUUGAUUUCAGGCCAGGAAUGAUGACCAUCAAUUUGGAUCUCAAAAGGGGCGGUAAUGGCAGGUUCUUGAAGACUGCUGCCUAUGGACACUUUGGCAGGGAUGACCCAGACUUCACUUGGGAAGUUGUGAAGCCCCUCAAGUGGGAAAAGCCUCAAGCUUAAAUUUGAGUUGAAAAGUGAAAACUAUCCCUGCUGUUCAAGUUUGCUUCUAUUGGUAGUGGAUGAAUAAUUUGAAUAUUAUCUUGCUGCUGCUUUGUAAUACUAAGCAAAUCUCCUGUGUUCAGAACUCAUACAUGUUCCCCAUUCAAUUCCUUUCUUUUUCUUCUUUCCCCACUUCUUUUUUGGUUUUGGUUUAAUGUACCAUGUCACCACUGUUGUGUAGUGAUAUCGAUUGAGAAUUUUGCUCAACUGGUGCCUGGAAUUAGUAAAAUUCUUCCUUUUGCUUACGACUAUUUUUGGAAUGUAGAAUGAAGGCAGCAGCGAGUUGUAUUAAUUUGUAACUUUGGCUAAAGCCAAUAGUUGUUUUGCUUAUUAAUAUCACUCUAUGUGUGUGCGGUUUGCCUAAACAUUUUUUUCUUCUUGUCUCAUUGAUCAUUGUCGGUUGAACGGCGCAAUAGAGCCCCAAUCCUUAAUUCCAGAAGAAGCCAAAGUAUGCCUCUAGACAGCUAACGGUUGGCUGCCUUUUUCUUGCGGGGCUUCUAGUCUUUACCCCCCUCAUCUUCCAUUUUCAACAGUCUUGUCUGCUUAAAUUUGUUGGCAUUAUUUUAAAGCGCAUUAUGCAACAAAAUGGCAGGUUGAUGUAUGUAAUGCGUAGCUUUGCAAGUAGGCAAAACCAUUUUUUUUUUUAACCCUGCAAAAAGAUUUUUAUGGUGAUUUCUUAAUCCUCAAUGACAUGUCAUUGAUGCAUCACCGUUUCAAACGAUAAAUUGGUGGAUUCACGACCAACAAAUCAGAGCUGGAAAACCUUUCCUUUCCAUUGGAAAAGGACACCCAAAGAACUGAAGAAGUACGAAUUUGAUAUUUGAUAAUGAAACACGAGAGACUUGCAAAUUACUACUAUUAAAACUGGUUACUACAAAUGAGAUAGUCUGAUUAAUUUAAACGAAAAGCUAGCUAGCCUUUCUUUCGUCUCCUAAUUGUGGUGUCUUUGAUCAUGCUGGAUACUUGCAGGUGCCCCAAGCUGCCAAAAUACACAUGAAAAUGAAAAAAAUCAAAGUCAGUAACAGCCCAAACAUCUGCCAGCAAAGUAGAAACAAUUGUGUCCAUAUGCAGUUGCGAAACACUAACAUGGAUUCUGGGUGACGAUGAGACCAGUGCCAUUGAAGUGGCAGUUCCAGUAAUUCUUGCCAGCUGACUUGUAAAAGAGAUUCAUAGCAAAAGAAGCAUGCGAUAUGAUACUGUCUGGAUUGAAGCAGCUGCCACCUGGCUGAAUUGGCCUACAGUCCACUCCCUUCUGCCGACAGCUGUAAUCAAUGUUGUGAUUGAGGCUCUCAUCGUCUGUUGAUGGCUUAGCAAUGCACCAGCUGGUCACCACGCCUUCAUUUCUCUACAAUUAAAUUAAACAUUAUUUGAAUUAACCCCAACCCCUUCUCCCCAAAAAAAAAAGAAAAAAGAAGAAUUGCUGUUCCAAUUAUGCUUGGAACAGUGGAAGACUUACCCUCUCUUCUUGGACUCUUCCAUUAGAAUGCGUACUACUUAACUCCGCAUGCCCUAAACCCACAUUUACCAUGUAGUGUUAAAAGUUGAGUAGGCUAACUGCAGCUAAAAUCAAAUACAAACAUACAAAGCUAGGCCUAGGCAGCUGCUGCUUUAAAAAAUUUCAUCUAAUUAAUUAAUUAGCAUUGCUUAACGAAAUUAAAUAUUAAAGCGUGUAUAAGAAAAGUAAUGGCGAAGAAAACGCACCUGAACAAUCCGCAAACCAGAACAGCAAAGCUAAUGCUAGAAGGAAAAACGCCAAAGCGUGUCUUGUGCCCUCCAUUGUUGUGUUGCGUUGGUGCCUAAUGCUACCUCGCUGGGGAAUGUGCAAGUAAAUAUUGAGGAGAUUGGUACUUAUAGUGAAACGAGAGAGUGCAUUACAGAUGGAGAUGGGUACAAAAUAUAUAAAAUAUAAACAAUGCCCUUUGAGUAACAUUCACGGAUAUAAGAACUGGGGGAGAUUCUAGGGAUUAAUCGCAUUGCAUUAUGCUAAUGCGUGGUUUAUCAUCAAAGGAAAAACGAUGGACGGAUAACUAAACGUUGAGAUAAGUAACAGCUGUCUUUUGCUUUGUUGUCAUUCAUGCAGCUUCUGAGUUACUGUCUCUCAGUCCAGACUCAGCUUUCCAAUGCAGAGCCACUGUCUCUCAGUCCGUGACUGUUUGUUUCAUUUGUUUGUUUUUUCUCUUCUGUUUAGCAAACACCAAUACAAUGAACA
This 2568-nucleotide long non-coding RNA is filed under the name Citrus sinensis (sweet orange). RNAcentral describes it as "long non-coding RNA (CSIN_LNC004447)". Lineage: Eukaryota; Viridiplantae; Streptophyta; Magnoliopsida; Sapindales; Rutaceae. The record is from RNAcentral.